GAUGAACGCUGGCGGCGUGCCUAAUACAUGCAAGUCGAGCGAACGGACGAGAAGCUUGCUUCUCUGAUGUUAGCGGCGGACGGGUGAGUAACACGUGGAUAACCUACCUAUAAGACUGGGAUAACUUCGGGAAACCGGAGCUAAUACCGGAUAAUAUUUUGAACCGCAUGGUUCAAAAGUGAAAGACGGUCUUGCUGUCACUUAUAGAUGGAUCCGCGCUGCAUUAGCUAGUUGGUAAGGUAACGGCUUACCAAGGCAACGAUGCAUAGCCGACCUGAGAGGGUGAUCGGCCACACUGGAACUGAGACACGGUCCAGACUCCUACGGGAGGCAGCAGUAGGGAAUCUUCCGCAAUGGGCGAAAGCCUGACGGAGCAACGCCGCGUGAGUGAUGAAGGUCUUCGGAUCGUAAAACUCUGUUAUUAGGGAAGAACAUAUGUGUAAGUAACUGUGCACAUCUUGACGGUACCUAAUCAGAAAGCCACGGCUAACUACGUGCCAGCAGCCGCGGUAAUACGUAGGUGGCAAGCGUUAUCCGGAAUUAUUGGGCGUAAAGCGCGCGUAGGCGGUUUUUUAAGUCUGAUGUGAAAGCCCACGGCUCAACCGUGGAGGGUCAUUGGAAACUGGAAAACUUGAGUGCAGAAGAGGAAAGUGGAAUUCCAUGUGUAGCGGUGAAAUGCGCAGAGAUAUGGAGGAACACCAGUGGCGAAGGCGACUUUCUGGUCUGUAACUGACGCUGAUGUGCGAAAGCGUGGGGAUCGAACAGGAUUAGAUACCCUGGUAGUCCACGCCGUAAACGAUGAGUGCUAAGUGUUAGGGGGUUUCCGCCCCUUAGUGCUGCAGCUAACGCAUUAAGCACUCCGCCUGGGGAGUACGACCGCAAGGUUGAAACUCAAAGGAAUUGACGGGGACCCGCACGAGCGGUGGAGCAUGUGGUUUAAUUCGAAGCAACGCGAAGAACCUUACCAAAUCUUGACAUCCUUUGACAACUCUAGAGAUAGAGCCUUCCCCUUCGGGGGACAAAGUGACAGGUGGUGCAUGGUUGUCGUCAGCUCGUGUCGUGAGAUGUUGGGUUAAGUCCCGCAACGAGCGCAACCCUUAAGCUUAGUUGCCAUCAUUAAGUUGGGCACUCUAAGUUGACUGCCGGUGACAAACCGGAGGAAGGUGGGGAUGACGUCAAAUCAUCAUGCCCCUUAUGAUUUGGGCUACACACGUGCUACAAUGGACAAUACAAAGGGCAGCGAAACCGCGAGGUCAAGCAAAUCCCAUAAAGUUGUUCUCAGUUCGGAUUGUAGUCUGCAACUCGACUACAUGAAGCUGGAAUCGCUAGUAAUCGUAGAUCAGCAUGCUACGGUGAAUACGUUCCCGGGUCU
Molecule: ribosomal RNA, 1372 nt
Filed under: uncultured bacterium
Lineage: Bacteria
Description: bacterial SSU rRNA
Rfam family: Bacterial small subunit ribosomal RNA
Source: RNAcentral